CCUGCUCUCCAGCCUGUGCUUGGAAAUGAAGGCUUUCCUUUCUUACACUGGUGAGGAGUGUAUCCAGCUCACACGUCAGCUCCUGUGAGAUGUAUCUGGUUGAGCUUCUGUGCAUCCCAAAAGCUGCUUCCAGGUGCUGUGUGUGUUAUACAAUCAGACAACAUGAUGAUGUAGAACCACCACCAUCCAGACCACCCAGCAUGAGCCCUGCCAGGGAGCAGGAGUCCUCUCCUCUGAUGGCAAAACGUUGUUUCUGCUGCCCUGGCCACGGUUCUGUGCUUCCCACCCAUGGACAGCAUGGGAAGCCACCCACCACACACGCUGCCUACAUGUGUUUCAGCUGCCUACAUGUUUACAGCUUGAUUGCUGUUCAUAAAACCAGCACGUGGAACAGGCAAACUCCGUGUGCUCCAGAAACCCUUGGGGUGUGCUUUGUCAAUGUCACGCACAUCAAGGAAGUUCAGCGAGCGCUCAGAGUGACUUCUCGUGUUCAGAACCCUUUUCCAUUAUUCACAUCUGCUGUCAGAGCUGCAGCCAUUGCUGUCACAACCUGAAACAAAAAUACCUCCCAGCCUGGAGACUUCCAAAAGCCUAAGGUGGGGGAGAAAUGUUUCCUUGCUACUUAAUGCUCCCAAACAGCUUUUGGUGACAGUUUUGCCUUGCUCCAAACACUCCAAGAACAGCACAUAAGGUGGAGCUGUUUUCCCUAGACUCCUGGUGACAUGGGAUCACAGGAUUAUUUACAUCAGAAAAGGGCUGGCCUUGAAGAAAGCAAAAUAUUAGAUGCUGUUUGGAACAGCAAGAAAGUUCAUUGCAUUUCAAGUGCACUGCAGAUUAACUCCAGCACUCCUAGUCUCUCUUCCUCCCCCACUGGCUCAUCAGUCAGCUGUUAAGACUUUCUAGUUCAACUUUGGAGUAAAAAAAUCUUGACAAAUUGCAAUCCAAUUGUUUGGUUGGGGUUUUUUUUUCCUCUCCCUUUCCCCCACCCUCCCUUCUCAGAGUGACUUUGAAGAUGAUAUUUGUAUUUCUGAAUUAAAACCACAUUUGCCCAAUACUGCAGAGGGGUGAGGCAGAGGCAGAAGAAAGAAGAAAAGCUUUUGUUCUCCUUCUCACAGCGACCCCUCACCUGCCAGGGGCAAGCUCCACAAUAAUUUCUAACAGCUGAGGUUAGUCAGGGACACCUAAUCCCAGAAAGCUGGCUCUGAAUUCCAGCACCAGCACACAGUGUUUGAGUUUCAUCAACAGCCAUUUACAUCUAAUUCUCCCAAUCCUCUGAAGUGUGAGUAUGUGUACAGGUGUGUGCUUAUUUAAUCAAAAUAUAUAAUUUUUUUCAUAAAUCUGAACCCAAAUGAUAUCAACAGCAGUGACAUUAUGUUUUUUAAAUCUAAGCAAGCUCAGGAAUUGUUUUGAGGAUGCGCUGGGGUCUUUUGAGUGUACCCUAAACAUCAGUGUCUACAGAAUGCCCAAGAAUUGUGAUUCCCAGCCAAAGGGAGGGCUGAGUUCUCAUUCCCUGAUUUCCUGUAAUGGAAAAGGAGUGCUCUGUGCAAAUGAAACUGAAAGUCUCUUGCUGAGUGUGCUGAGACCUGUCCAGUGUGUCUCCAGAAGGGAUGUAAGGAGCAUCCUGGCAGCACAACAGAGAGAAACCUCCCAGGGUUCAGCUGAUGGGAGGAUGUGACAGCAACGGCUCACUCCGAAAGAAAUGCAUCUUCCCAGGCAUGAACAGGGAUCAGAUGGGAUUUGGCAAAGACUGCUGGGGACAAUGAUUUUUACCCUGGUGUCCUGUGACCUUUGGAGGAUGAGUGAUCCAUCUCCCUGUGGGAGAUUUGGUGUUUUGCCACUCGUCAACAAAAUGCUGUCCUCAAUGCACCUGUCAAGAUCCCACUCUGGAACAGAAGAUCAGAGCAAACGGGGGCUGAGGAGAACAAAAGCUGACCCAAACCUUUGACCUAAAUUUAACAUAAAGCCAGAUGAAACCUUAGAGUCCUCCCCAGUGUCAAGGCUGGACCGAUGUGCCAGCAGGGCUGUCCCUGUCCCAGUGUUUGACAGCAGUGAUGGCACCUUCUUCAGACACCCUGACCAGAAUGCCUUCAGAGUAUCUGCUGGGUGCCUUUGUCUUUGGAGGUUUGGAUAGUCCUGUCCAUGAACUGACCACUAUUUAACACCUGAAAGAAAACAAAGACUGUGACAAAAGGUGCUGGCUGAGCUCCAUGGACCAUCCAGUGUGGGGACAGCAGUGGUGGAGCGAAUCCACUGGACAGAGAAACCAGGCACAGAAGAAAUUAUCCUAUUUGCUUAUUUCAGCCCAAGUUAGAAGGGAAAAAUUCUAUGUGUUGGCCUAGUGACAAAUCUAUUUUGACU
Molecule: non-coding RNA, 2358 nt
Organism: Lonchura striata (white-rumped munia)
Lineage: Eukaryota; Metazoa; Chordata; Aves; Passeriformes; Estrildidae
Source: RefSeq, a predicted model, not a curated record